UUCGCCUGUUAUCAAAAACAUUGCCAGAAGUUUUAUUUUUGGUAUUGCCUGCUCACUGUUUAUAUAAAGAGCCGCAGUAAUUUGACUGUGCAAAGGUAGCGUAAUCAUUUGUCUAUUAAUUGUAGUCUGUAUGAAAGGCGUAACGUAUUUCAACUGUCUCUAUUAAUAUUAGUUGAAUUUUCCUGGAAAGUGAAAAGGCUUUCUUUUAGAAAAAAGACGAGAAGACCCUUAGAGUUUUUACUAUAAUUUGUAAAUCAAAUAAAGUUUUUGUUGGGGCAACAAGAGAACACUUAAUUUCUUUUUUUAAACCUGCUCUUUUUGAGAAAGAAAAAACUACCUGAGGGAUAACAGCAUAAUUUUUUAUAAAGUUUAUGACCUCGAUGUUGGACUAGGAAAUUUUUUCCCCAGAAAGGAAAAAAUCAAGCUCUGUUCGAGCUUAAUCUCCUACGUGAUCUGAGUUCAGACCGGAGNCC
Molecule: ribosomal RNA, 473 nt
Filed under: Siphonaria serrata
Lineage: Eukaryota; Metazoa; Mollusca; Gastropoda; Siphonariida; Siphonariidae
Description: partial 16S ribosomal RNA
Rfam family: Bacterial large subunit ribosomal RNA
Source: RNAcentral